GGCGUCGAGCGGCGGACGGGUGAGUAAUGCAUAGGAAUCUGCCCGGUAGUGGGGGAUAACUUGAGGAAACUCAAGCUAAUACCGCAUACGCCCCAAGGGGGAAAGCAGGGGAUCUUCGGACCUUGCGCUAUCGGAUGAGCCUAUGUCGGAUUAGCUAGUUGGUGAGGUAAUGGCUCACCAAGGCCGCGAUCCGUAGCUGGUCUGAGAGGAUGAUCAGCCACAUCGGGACUGAGACACGGCCCGAACUCCUACGGGAGGCAGCAGUGGGGAAUAUUGGACAAUGGGCGAAAGCCUGAUCCAGCCAUGCCGCGUGUGUGAAGAAGGCCUUCGGGUUGUAAAGCACUUUCAGCGAGGAAGAACGCUUGUGGGUUAAUACCCCGCAAGAAGGACAUCACUCGCAGAAGAAGCACCGGCUAACUCCGUGCCAGCAGCCGCGGUAAUACGGAGGGUGCAAGCGUUAAUCGGAAUUACUGGGCGUAAAGCGCGCGUAGGCGGCUUGAUAAGCCGGUUGUGAAAGCCCCC
RNAcentral lists this ribosomal RNA (522 nucleotides) under Halomonas sp. TJ8-1. RNAcentral's name for it is "bacterial SSU rRNA". It matches the Rfam family "Bacterial small subunit ribosomal RNA", at positions 87 to 605 of the family's 1533-position model. The record is from RNAcentral. Lineage: Bacteria; Pseudomonadati; Pseudomonadota; Gammaproteobacteria; Oceanospirillales; Halomonadaceae.